This 889-nucleotide long non-coding RNA is filed under the name Calidris pugnax (ruff). Its description in RNAcentral is "lncRNA (ENSCPUG00000008584.1)". The record is from RNAcentral. Lineage: Eukaryota; Metazoa; Chordata; Aves; Charadriiformes; Scolopacidae.
AUGCCAGUCCCAGUGCCGAUACUGGUCCCAGUUCCAUCCCAGUGCCAUCCCAGUACCAAUACUGGUGCUGUCCCAGUUCUAGUCCCAGUUCCAGUGCCCAUACUGGUCCCAGUUCUGAUACUGGUUCCAGUCCCAUCCCAGUGCCAUCCCAGUACCGAUACUGGUCCCGGUGCUGAUGCCAGUCCCAGUGCCAAUACUGGUCCCAGUUCCAUCCCAGUACCAAUACUGGUUCUGAUGUCAUCCCAGUUCCAUUCCAGUUCCGUCCCAGUACCGAUACUGGUCCCAGUGCUGAUGCCAGUCCCAGUUCCAGUUCCGAUACUGAUCCCAGUGCCAGUCCCAGUGCCGAUACUGGUCCUGGUGCCGUCCCAGUUCCAUCCCAGUUCCAUCCCAGUGCUGAUACUGGUGCCGUCCCAGUUCCAGUUCCAUCCCAGUGCCAUCCCAGUGCCAUCCCAGUGCCGAUACUGGUGCCAUCCCAGUUCCAGUUCCAUCCCAGUUCCAUCCCAGUUCCAUCCCAGUCCCGAUACUGGUGCUGUUCCAGUGCCAUCCCAGUGCCGAUACCGCUCCCAGUGCCGGGCUUUUGGGGUUCCAGUGCCAUUUUUGGGGUGCCGGGGUGGGUUUUGGGGUGCAAGUGGGGGUUUUUGGGGUGUCGGGGGUGCCAGUUUUGGGGUGUUCCCAUCCCCGUGUCCCCACGUUCUCCACGUCUCUGAUGCCACCUCCCCAUCCCCAUGUUCUCCACGUCCCUGGUGCCACCUCCCCAUUCCCAUGUUCUCCCUGUCCCUGGUGCCACCUCCUCCGUGUCACCUCCCCAUGUUCUCCACAUCCCUGGUGCCACCUCCCCAUGUUCUCCACGUCCCUGGUGCCACCUCCCAUCCCCAUCUCCCCACGUCCC